This 341-nucleotide unclassified non-coding RNA is filed under the name Oxylobium ellipticum. RNAcentral's name for it is "partial external transcribed spacer". Lineage: Eukaryota; Viridiplantae; Streptophyta; Magnoliopsida; Fabales; Fabaceae. The record is from RNAcentral.
GUAGCAUCCGUUAACGGCAUUGCACCGCGAGCCGCUCUUCCCCCCCGCGAACGGAGAGCGAGACCGACUCGGAGGCAAGCGUCAUUCAAGGCAACCGAAAUCCGAGGGACUGAAUGGGGCACCGACCCAUGUUCGCCGCAUGUACUGCAUCCGAGAGAACGGUAAGUGCCCGUGUGCCGCAGAAGUCGUGUCGGUGCACGACUAAUGCGGAGCACGUGCAUUACCUUGAUAUCCUCCGGCGACCCCGCAAAGGGAGCCCGGAUAGAAGGAUAAUUCCGAGCCACGAGGGUGCCGUUUUUAAUAGGUAGUCAGCACAGGAACCGCGAAUGAACACCAGAGCC